Molecule: ribosomal RNA, 253 nt
Filed under: uncultured bacterium
Lineage: Bacteria
Description: partial 16S ribosomal RNA
Rfam family: Bacterial small subunit ribosomal RNA
Source: RNAcentral
AACGUAGGACGCAAGCGUUAUCCGGAGUUACUGGGCGUAAAGCGCGGGCAGGCGGCUCGAAACGUCUGAUGUGAAAUCUCCUCGCUCAACGGGGAGAGGCCAUUGGAAACGGUCGAGCUGGAGGGCAGUAGAGGUAGGCGGAAUUCCGGGUGGAGUGGCGAAAUGCGUAGAGAUCCGGAGGAACACCAGAGGCGAAGGCGGCCUACUGGGCUGCACCUGACGCUGAGCCGCGAAAGCCAGGGGAGCGAACGGG